Molecule: transfer RNA, 71 nt
Organism: Cavia porcellus (domestic guinea pig)
Lineage: Eukaryota; Metazoa; Chordata; Mammalia; Rodentia; Caviidae
Rfam family: tRNA
About the family: Transfer RNA (tRNA) molecules are approximately 80 nucleotides in length. Their secondary structure includes four short double-helical elements and three loops (D, anti-codon, and T loops). Further hydrogen bonds mediate the characteristic L-shaped molecular structure. tRNAs have two regions of fundamental functional importance: the anti-codon, which is responsible for specific mRNA codon recognition, and the 3' end, to which the tRNAs corresponding amino acid is attached (by aminoacyl-tRNA synthetases). tRNAs cope with the degeneracy of the genetic code in two manners: having more than one tRNA (with a specific anti-codon) for a particular amino acid; and 'wobble' base-pairing, i.e. permitting non-standard base-pairing at the 3rd anti-codon position.
Source: Rfam
UGGGAUUUAGCUCAAAGGCAUAAGCACCUGCCUUGCAAGCAGGCGGUCGUGAGUUCAAUGCCCAGUACCAA